GGAGGCUACCAUUUCCUAGCUGAUCCAUCAACCACACGUGCUACUACAGAGGCAUAUCUCAUCUGGACCUUUUCCACUAACUGAAGCCUGAUUCGUGUAUUCAAUACUGUAUCCAGGAAUAGGCAUGCAUUUAGGGGGCUCGGAUUGACGUGAUCCGGAUUGACAGGGGUUCAGACUGACGUGAUCCGGAUAGACAGGGGUUCAGACUGACGGUGUCCGGAAUGACAGGGCUUCAGAUUGACGGAAUCCGUAUUGACAGGGGUCCAUGUUUUUUAUUAUUUUUCCUUACACAACUGUUUCAUUUUAUCUUCACGAAGAUUGCGCCAGAUUGCGAGGAUUAUUCAGCAAUAUAUUUAAUUUUAUAACUGUUGGACAAUAAUGACAUACAAUAACAGCAAAUGAUACUCAUCCCCAAAACCAUUAAUUAUCUCAGAUAGUUCAUCAAAAUUGCAAUAUUUGUAAUUCCUAUUCAUAUUAGCAUAACAGCCAGUUUCUAGUUGUAACUUGUUAGCAAAUAUUCAGAGCAUAGUGUACACAUGUGAAAUGUCUAGGUACAUUUGGUAACUGAAAAUAGCGCUGAUAUUUCCAUAAAGAUAACGUUUUGAGGAGUGAUGGGCAUAUGGACCAUUUCUUUCUUAUAUGGAAUUAUUUUAAAUUAUAUUCAUUUUUUCUUAUGUUUCAUGUCUUUGCUUAAUAAUUGCCUCAUUAUCUGUCGACCAAUAUCCCCUUCGCUAGGUGUAGUUCAUGCCAUAUGUUUAUAUCGUACAUUUUCUUUAUGUCGUAGGUCUCCAGGACAAGACGCGCUUGAAAAGUCAAAACUUGGAAUUAUGUGAUACACAUCCCGUGUGGACUUACGAGAAUAUGAUUGUUUAUCCAUUGGUGUUGAUUGUUUCAUUUAAGAGUAUAAGAUUAAAACAUUUCUAUGUGA
Long non-coding RNA from Haliotis rubra (blacklip abalone), 928 nucleotides. RefSeq lists it as uncharacterized. The transcript has 2 exons. The record is from RefSeq and is a predicted model, not a curated record. Lineage: Eukaryota; Metazoa; Mollusca; Gastropoda; Lepetellida; Haliotidae.